RNAcentral lists this ribosomal RNA (774 nucleotides) under Amathia vidovici. RNAcentral describes it as "partial 16S ribosomal RNA". The stretch from base 340 to 536 matches the Rfam family "Bacterial large subunit ribosomal RNA", at positions 1700 to 2029 of the family's 2925-position model. The record is from RNAcentral. Lineage: Eukaryota; Metazoa; Bryozoa; Gymnolaemata; Ctenostomatida; Vesiculariidae.
AGAAUACAGAAACAUCCAUAGAGACCAAAUAUCAUUCACGCCUACCGAUAGCUGGGUGCUACUCAAAAGACAUAAAAGUGUCUCCCUCUAAAACGAGGGAAUAGUUUUCUUGGGAUCAGCUAAGAAAACAAAACGUAAUGAAAAAACAAACUUAAAAGAUUAAAUAAGCCUAAAAACAGCUACAGUAAAAAAACCAGUAAAAAGGUAACCAAUUAAACUUAAGAAUAAUCAUAAAUAAUUCAUGCAAAAAUAGAGAGCAUUUAAGAAAAACAAAAAACCUUAAGUAAAAAUGAAUAGCAUAAGUAUAAAAUAUGAUAAAUAAUACAUAAUAAAAGAAAAAUUAACAAAGGAACUCGGCAAAAAUAGAGCAAAGACUGUUUAACAAAAACAUAGCUUCUAGAAAUAAUUAGAAGUAAAAUCCUGCCCGGUGAAAGUAAUUUUAAACGGCCACAAUCGUGCUAAGGUAGCGUAAUCAGUUGUCCUUUUAUUGAGGACUAGUAUGAAAGGAAAAACGAGGCUCAACUGUCUCUGUUAAUAAAAUAAGAAAUUAGUUAUUAGGUGAAAAAACCUAAAUAAAAUUAAAGGACGAAAAGACCCUAUAGAGUUUGAAUAUAUUACUUUAUAUGUAAACUCAAAACGAUACAAAUAAAAUAAAUAUUUUAAUUGGGGCAACAUAGGAACAAAAAAAUUUCCUUAAAUAACACAUUUAACAUUUUAAAAUUAAAAAUCCUCAAGAGAUAAAGAAAAACUACCUUUGGGAUACAGCGUAAUUUU